GUGGGGAAUCUUCCGCAAUGGACGAAAGUCUGACGGAGCAACGCCGCGUGAGUGAUGAAGGUCUUCGGAUUGUAAAGCUCUGUUAAUCGGGACGAAAGAGCCUAGUGUGAAUAAUGCUAGGAAGUGACGGUACCGGAAUAGAAAGCCACGGCUAACUACGUGCCAGCAGCCGCGGUAAUACGUAGGUGGCAAGCGUUGUCCGGAAUUAUUGGGCGUAAAGCGCGCGCAGGCGGAUCUGCCAGUCUGUCUUAAAAGUUCGGGGCUUAACCCCGUGAUGGGAUGGAAACUACAGAUCUAGAGUAUCGGAGAGGAAAGUGGAAUUCCUAGUGUAGCGGUGAAAUGCGUAGAGAUUAGGAAGAACACCGGUGGCGAAGGCGACUUUCUGGACGACAACUGACGCUGAGGCGCGAAAGCGUGGGGAGCAAACAGGAUUAGAAACCCCAGUAGUCC
Molecule: ribosomal RNA, 450 nt
Filed under: uncultured bacterium
Lineage: Bacteria
Description: partial 16S ribosomal RNA
Rfam family: Bacterial small subunit ribosomal RNA
Source: RNAcentral